UACUAGAGUAGCACUCGCAUAUCAAUAAGCGGAGGAAAAGAAACUAACAAGGAUUCCCCUAGUAACGGCGAGUGAAGCGGGAAGAGCUCAAAUUUGAAAUCUUAAAGGGUUUCCCUUUACGAAUUGUAGUUUAAAGAAGUGUUUUCUGUUGAGGUUUUGGUAAAAGUUCUUUGGAAUAGGACAUCAUAGAGGGUGAGAAUCCCGUAUUUGACCUUUACUUUCAACUUUGUGAUACACUUUCAAAGAGUCGGAUUGUUUGGGAAUGCAGUCCAAAAUGGGUGGUAAAUUUCAUCCUAAAGCUAAAUAUUGGCGAGAGACCGAUAGCGAACAAGUACCGUGAGGGAAAGAUGAAAAGAACUUUGAAAAGAGAGUUAAACAGUACGUGAAAUUGUCAAAAGGGAAGCGUUUGACACCAGUGUUGUUUUUCUGAAAAUCAAUUAAAGAACUGUUUAUGCUAAGCUGUUUAGACUUUAUCAGCUAUCUGUUUAGUUUUAGGCUUUUCUUUAAUGCACUUUUCAGUUAACAAGUCAACAUCAAUUUCUUUUGCUGUAAAAAAGCUUGAGGAAGGUGGCUUGAGAUUCGUCUUAAGUGUUUAUAGCCUCUUGCCUAUGCAGUCGGAGAGAUUGAGGUCUGCAGCGUAGAUCCUUCGGGGCUAAAUGCAUUUGUGCUAAGUUAUAGCAUUUUAUAGACAACUUGUUGACUAUGAUUUGUCUUGUAGCUUACUCGCUUAUGUUAUUUUACCUACGCUUAGGAUGUUGAGCGCAUGUCUCUCUCU
RNAcentral lists this ribosomal RNA (775 nucleotides) under uncultured Neocallimastigales. RNAcentral describes it as "partial large subunit ribosomal RNA". It matches the Rfam family "Eukaryotic large subunit ribosomal RNA", at positions 20 to 616 of the family's 3401-position model. Lineage: Eukaryota; Fungi; Neocallimastigomycota; Neocallimastigomycetes; Neocallimastigales. The record is from RNAcentral.